RNAcentral lists this ribosomal RNA (388 nucleotides) under uncultured bacterium. RNAcentral's name for it is "bacterial SSU rRNA". It matches the Rfam family "Bacterial small subunit ribosomal RNA", at positions 28 to 417 of the family's 1533-position model. The record is from RNAcentral.
GACGAACGCUGGCGGCGUGCUUAACACAUGCAAGUCGAGCGGUAAGGCCCUUUCGGGGGUACGACGAGCGGCGAACGGGUGAGUAACACGUGGGUGACCUGCCCUCAGCUCUGGGAUAAGCCCGGGAAACUGGGUCUAAUACUGGAUAUUACUCUGCGGUGCAUGCCGUGGGGUGGAAAGCCUUGUGCGGCUGGGGAUGGGCCCGCGGCCUAUCAGCUUGUUGGUGGGGUGAUGGCCACCAAGGCGACGACGGGUAGCCGGCCUGAGAGGGCGACCGGCCACACUGGGACUGAGACACGGCCCAGACUCCUACGGGAGGCAGCAGUGGGGAAUCUUGCGCAAUGGGCGAAAGCCUGACGCAGCGACGCCGCGUGAGGGAUGACGGCCU